This 1088-nucleotide unclassified non-coding RNA is filed under the name Hevea brasiliensis (rubber tree). The record is from RNAcentral. Lineage: Eukaryota; Viridiplantae; Streptophyta; Magnoliopsida; Malpighiales; Euphorbiaceae.
UUAGUGUUGUUGCUUCUGCCUUGGGUAUUCCGGCACUGUUGCCUUUCUUGAAAGCUGUCUGUCAAAGUAAGAAAUCAUGGCAAGCUCGCCACACUGGAAUCAAGAUUGUGCAGCAGAUUGCUAUCUUGAUUGGUUGUGCUGUUCUGCCUCAUUUGAGGUCUCUUGUUGAAAUCAUAGAGCACGGUCUCAAUGAUGAGAAUCAAAAAGUGCGGACAAUCACUGCUUUGUCCUUGGCUGCUCUUGCUGAGGCUGCUGCCCCUUAUGGUAUUGAAAGCUUUGACUCUGUGUUGAAGCCAUUGUGGAAGGGUAUUAGGUCACACCGUGGGAAGGUCUUGGCUGCUUUCUUGAAGGCAAUUGGUUUUAUUAUUCCUCUAAUGGAUGCUAUUUAUGCCAGUUACUACACCAAGGAAGUCAUGAUUAUCCUAAUACGUGAAUUUCAGUCUCCCGAUGAAGAAAUGAAGAAAAUUGUGCUUAAAGUGGUCAAGCAGUGUGUGAGUACUGAGGGUGUGGAAGCUGAAUACAUACGUUCUGAUAUUCUUCCCGAGUUCUUUAGGAACUUCUGGGUUAGAAGGAUGGCAUUGGAUAGGAGAAAUUAUAGGCAACUUGUGGAUACAACUGUGGAGAUUGCUAACAAGGUUGGUGUCAAAGAUAUUGUAGGGAGAAUUGUUGAGGAUCUUAAAGAUGAGAGCGAACCAUACAGGCGAAUGGUUAUGGAAACAAUUGAGAAGGUGGUUGCAAACUUAGGAGCAUCUGAUAUUGAUGCUAGAUUGGAAGAAUUAUUGAUUGAUGGUAUUCUUUAUGCUUUCCAAGAGCAGACUAGUGAUGAUGCCAAUGUGAUGCUUAAUGGGUUUGGUGCUGUUGUGAAUGCUCUUGGACAGAGGGUGAAACCUUAUCUUCCACAGAUUUGUGGUACCAUAAAGUGGCGCUUGAACAACAAAAGCGCCAAGGUGAGACAACAAGCAGCAGAUCUUAUUUCUAGGAUUGCUGUUGUCAUGAAGCAGUGUCAAGAGGAACAACUGAUGGGUCAUCUUGGUGUUGUCUUGUAUGAAUAUUUGGGAGAAGAAUACCCUGAAGUUCUUGGAUCAAUU